GGGGGAGAGAGUCAGAGGUUGGUGGUCUGGCGUCACGUCUGCUUUGGUUGUGGUUGUGGGGUUCCCUCGCUCAAAACGAGCAUAAAAGUUGUUGAGCUCGUUGAGGAAGGAGACAUCAGAGGAUGCGGGGGAGGGUUUGGUGGUCCUGUAGUCUGUGAUGGUCUGGAGUCCUUGCCACAUGCGUCGGGGGUUGGAGUUGGAGAAGUGUUCUUCUACCUUCUUUUUGUAAUGGUGUUUGGCUUUUUUGAUGCCCUUCUUUAGAUUAGCCCUGGCUGUACUGUAGGCGUGUGCAUCUCCUGACCUAAAGGCAGUGUUGCGGGCCUUCAGGAGGAGACGAACAUCCCGGUUCAUCCAAGGCUUCUGGUUGGGGUACAUGGUGAUCCGUUUCUGGGUGGUGACACUAUUAAGCCCUUAUUUAUAAAUGUUUACACAAUAAUAGACACCGUGUGCUCUGUGACAUUGUAGUCUUCUACUUCUGCUUCCAUCGGUUUGCAUUUUAAACUCCCAGCCUUUGACGCCAUCACCGAGGCAUACGACAAUCUAGUGGGGGAGGAUGUGGUGAAAAUCCGACAGCUGUGGAUGGUCACAGAGUGUUACCAAUGGCGCGGCUGAUGUUUCUCUGAAAGACUGAUUCUUUCUAAAUAAUAUAAGCCGUUCAUAACAACCUGAGAGACUGGGAGUUUAAAAUGC
Long non-coding RNA from Astatotilapia calliptera (eastern happy), 690 nucleotides. The record is from Ensembl. Lineage: Eukaryota; Metazoa; Chordata; Actinopteri; Cichliformes; Cichlidae.